Molecule: non-coding RNA, 24 nt
Filed under: Cricetulus griseus (Chinese hamster)
Lineage: Eukaryota; Metazoa; Chordata; Mammalia; Rodentia; Cricetidae
Source: RNAcentral
AGCACAUGCUCUUAACUGCUGAAG